Molecule: ribosomal RNA, 253 nt
Filed under: uncultured bacterium
Lineage: Bacteria
Description: partial 16S ribosomal RNA
Rfam family: Bacterial small subunit ribosomal RNA
Source: RNAcentral
UACGGGGGGGGCAAGCGUUGUUCGGAAUUACUGGGCGUAAAGGGCUCGUAGGCGGCCAACUAAGUCAGACGUGAAGUCCCCAGGCUCAACCUGGGAACUGCGUCUGAUACUGGAUGGCUUGAAUCCGGGAGAGGGAUGCAGAAUUCCAGGUGUAGCGGUGAAAUGCGUAGAUAUCUGGAGGAAUACCGGUGGCGAAGGCGGCAUCCUGGACCGGCAUUGACGCUGAGGAGCGAAAGCCAGGGGAGCAAACGGG